This 440-nucleotide ribosomal RNA is filed under the name uncultured bacterium. RNAcentral's name for it is "partial 16S ribosomal RNA". It matches the Rfam family "Bacterial small subunit ribosomal RNA", at positions 338 to 795 of the family's 1533-position model. The record is from RNAcentral.
CCUACGGGUGGCAGCAGUGGGGGAUAUUGCACAAUGGGGGGAACUCUGAUGCAGCGACGCCGCGUGGGUGAAGGAGCGUUUCGGCGCGUAAAGCCCUAUCGGCAGGGAAGAAGGAGGACGGUACCUGACUAAGAAGCCCCGGCUAACUACGUGCCAGCAGCCGCGGUAAUACGUAGGGAGCGAGCGUUGUCGGGAAUUACGGGGUGAAAAGGGAGCGUAGGCGGGGAUGCAAGUUGGGUGUAAAAACUACCGGCUAAACUGGUAGUCGCACUCAAAACUGCAGCUCUUGAGUGAAGUAGAGGCAGGCGGAAUUCCUAGUGUAGCGGUGAAAUGCGUAGAUAUUAGGAGGAACACCAGUGGCGAAGGCGGCCUGCUGGGCUUUUACUGACGCUGAGGCUCGAAAGUGUGGGGAGCAAACAGGAUUAGAUACCCGUGUAGUC